RNAcentral lists this long non-coding RNA (785 nucleotides) under Homo sapiens (human). RNAcentral's name for it is "non-protein coding lnc-RASA3-5:1". Lineage: Eukaryota; Metazoa; Chordata; Mammalia; Primates; Hominidae. The record is from RNAcentral.
ACAUGAUGCACUAGCCGUGGCGCCUGCUACACACGAGCUCUGGAAACCUCAGCUGCCCUCAUCGCUUCCUGCCAUUCUGGAAGAAAAGUUAAAAUUGGAAUUAGCAGUAACACGGGCCUCUCAGAGUUUUGAAUAAAUAGUGCUGUAACUCAUCCUAGUAACUUAACUGGGAACCAGGCAUCUCAGCUGGUGUUGCAAAGUCACGCAGGGCUGGGGAUCCCCGAGCCCCCUGGGUGAGCUGGGUCUUGCCUAUUAGCUCUGUAGACAAGGCAGGUUCCAAAGGGCAGUGCGAAUGUGCUUCGAGUUUUACAAAAUUCUGUGAGUUCAAAGCCUUUGGAUAUCUGAGUCUGUCUUAAGAGAGCCUCAAGCUAAUAUUCACACAAUUGUGUGUCUCGGUAUACAGUUUAAAUGCUGGCAUUUAGCUUAGAGAACAAAGAAAACGUGAAGUCAAAGAAGGAACAAAAGCAUUAUAUCCUAUCAAAAAAUAACCAAAUACUAUUCAACCAUUUUGAAAAUUUCUGAUUCUGGCAUUGGGGAAAGUGGCUGCAGAUGACGGUGAUGCAUGCCCAGCAAGUGGAGGAGGCCGGGGGCAGAAUGUUGCCCAGGUGCUGGGUCGGUUCUGGGUUCUCCGUGGGGGCUGGGUCGGUUGUGGGAUCUCCUCGGGGGCUGGGUCGGUUCUGGGGUCUCCUCGGGGGCUGGGUCGGUUGUGGGAUCUCCUCGGGGGCUGGGUCGGUUCUGGGGUCUCCUCGGGGGCUGGGUCGGUUGUGGGAUCUCCUCGGGGGCUG